RNAcentral lists this long non-coding RNA (1496 nucleotides) under Gallus gallus (chicken). Lineage: Eukaryota; Metazoa; Chordata; Aves; Galliformes; Phasianidae. The record is from RNAcentral.
ACGCUGCUAUGGAUGUUCUGCCUGAGACCAGAUUUGGUUAGGAGCACAGAGACAGGCUUCUCAACCCACCAAGGUUGGAUAAGUUUCAUAAACAGCAGUGAGGUAAGGAGAAUGAGUAUAAAGAUCAACGUUUGACAAGUCUUCCCUGCUGUUUACCAAAAAAAAAAACAAAAGCCUUUCACAUUUUGUCACAUGGCACUGCACCUCAAAGGCACCUUUAAGCAUAGGAUUUACUACCACACAUCGACAGGAAAGUGCUCUCCUGGACCUGGCAGUGAGAGCUGUUUAGGAGUCUCCAAGUGUUUCACGCCUUCUUCCUCCACCUUCUCCAUCUGAAUGGCCACAGCCAGCAGCUCCCUCUCCAGAAGGCACAGCCAACUCAACAGCAGGUUAACUCCUUGGGCGUUUAUCUGAAAGCACACAAUGCAUCUUUAUGGACAAUGACCAAAAAAACAUCACUGGGAUUCUGACAGCCUGGAGUCAAGCUUUUAAGUGAGAAUUUCUGCUUUAACACAGACUGCAAACUAAGGAUGGCAUCUCAUCUAACAGCCUCUGUCAGCACACAGUACAACUUUGGGGAUAGUUAUUGCAUGCGUGUAUAACAUCUGCUGAAAUGCAUUUCCCAUCACUUCUUGGAACUUUGAACGCUACUGAUCAGAGAUUUUAAAAGGGAGACCACUAACAAAGAUAAAUAACCAGGAAAUAAAGACCAAAAAUCCCCUGACUGGAUGCAUUUUUGUCAUGCUAUAGGAAACUGAUCAGAUAUUAACUCAAAGACCUUUUAGUCAAUGCAGUUUCACAUCACAAAGCCGCAACUGUGGGAAAUGCAGGGGCUUUGGAAAAACAAAGGGGCAGCUGAGGGGUGCAGAGGGAGAGAAUCAAACCAACCACAUUUGAACUGCAGAAACCCCUGCAGAAAACACAGACCACAACUCGUUCAGCUCUUUGGAGGAUUAAAAAAAAAUGCAAAAAAAAGGAAGACGUGCCCAGUUUGAUUUAUCACUCUUAUUAUAAAGAUGCUUAAAAUGAAAAUAGCUUUAAGGUUACAGUCAUUACUGUGUAUGUUUUUAUGUGUGUAUUUUAAACAGACAAGUGUGAAGCAUUAAGACUCCACGGGAAGCAUCACAUCAUUCCACGUUACCUGUGCGAUCAACCCAAAGCUCCCCAUGGACUUGCAGAUCUGCUUUGUGCUAUACAUUGCAACACAGCUAACAUGGGGAAACAGUACUUCCCCUGGAUGGCACUGCAACCUCCCCAGCUUGCUUUCCCCCUCAGAUACUUUGUCACUUGAGCACUUGGAGUAGAAGUGGUAGGUCUGGAUUCUUUUUGUAGUUGUAUGUGGUUACUUUUUGCCAGCCUCCCCAUCUCAAUGACCUUGUAAAGCAAGGUUUAUACAAUACCUUCCAUAAUAUAUUAAAGAUCAUACUUCUCUUCACUCAGAAGUCUUCCAGGUGUUUAGCCUUGUGUGUCAACAGAAACCUUGGACAAAUUACCAU